GGAUUCCGGAUGUCAGUAUGGAUGCAUCGCUUGAUGUGGGAUUAGAGCAGAAUGGUUCUUCGACUAGCUUGGAUCUUGACUUAGAACACUAUGUUGUUCCAUCUCCAAAAGGCUCCUAUUCCAUCUAUGCAGCUAAUCUGACAGAGACUCCUCGGUAUUUGGGGCGUACAGGGAUAUUAUCAAAAAAUGAUGUCUCAAGCAGUGUUUUACGUGAU
This 215-nucleotide unclassified non-coding RNA is filed under the name Hevea brasiliensis (rubber tree). The record is from RNAcentral. Lineage: Eukaryota; Viridiplantae; Streptophyta; Magnoliopsida; Malpighiales; Euphorbiaceae.